RNAcentral lists this ribosomal RNA (468 nucleotides) under uncultured bacterium. RNAcentral's name for it is "partial 16S ribosomal RNA". It matches the Rfam family "Bacterial small subunit ribosomal RNA", at positions 28 to 507 of the family's 1533-position model. The record is from RNAcentral.
GACGAACGCUGGCGGCGUGCUUAACACAUGCAAGUCGAACGGCAAGGCCCUGCUUUUGUGGGGUGCUCGUGUGGCGAACGGGUGAGUAACAAGUGAGUAACCUGCCCUUGACUUUGGGGUAACUUCAGGAAACUGGGGCUAAUACCGGAUAGGAGCUCCUGCUGCAUGGUGGGGGUUGGAAAGUUUCGGCGGUUGGGGAUGGACUCGCGGCUCAUCAGCUUGUUGGUGGGGUAGUGGAUUACCAAGGGUUUGACGGGUAGCCGGCCUGAGAGGUUGACCGGCGACAUUGGUACUGAGGGACGGACCAGUCGGCUACGGGAGGCAGUGGGGGAGAUUAUUGCGCAAUGGGCCGACGCCUGAUGCAGCGACGUCGCGUGCGGGAUGACGGCUUUCGGGGUGUAAACCGCUUUCGCCGGAGACGAAGCGGGAUUGACGGUAACGGAUAAAGAAGCACCGGCUAACUACGUG